UAAAAAGCUCGUAGUUGGAUCUGUGUAUCGGACGGCCGGUUCGCUGCUCGCAGCGUUUAACUGGUCGGUCCGGACGUCCUGCCGGUGGGCGUCCGCGCAAGCGGGCGUCCGUACAUCCCUCCGGGCUGCUCUUAACCGGGUGGCCCGGUGGGCCGGCACGUUUACUUUGAACAAAUUUGAGUGCUCAAAGCAGGCCUUUGGUUGCCUGAAAACUGUGUGCAUGGAAUAAUGGAAUAGGGCCUCGGUUCUAUUUUGUUGGCUUUUCUGAACUUGAGGUAAUGAUUAAUAGGGACAGACGGGGGCAUUCGUAUUGCGACGUUAGAGGUGAAAUUCUUGGAUCGUCGCAAGACGAACGGAUGCGAAAGCGUUUGCCAAGAAUGUUUUCGCUAAUCAAGAACGAAAGUUAGAGGUUCGAAGGCGAUCAGAUACCGCCCUAGUUCUAACCAUAAACGAUGCCAGCCAGCGAUGCGCCGAAGUUCCUCCGAUGACUCGGCGCGCAGCUUCCGGGAAACCAAAGCUUUUGGGUUCCGGGG
RNAcentral lists this ribosomal RNA (533 nucleotides) under Labiobaetis atrebatinus orientalis. RNAcentral describes it as "SSU rRNA". It matches the Rfam family "Eukaryotic small subunit ribosomal RNA", at positions 620 to 1119 of the family's 1831-position model. Lineage: Eukaryota; Metazoa; Arthropoda; Insecta; Ephemeroptera; Baetidae. The record is from RNAcentral.